RNAcentral lists this transfer RNA (73 nucleotides) under subsurface metagenome. RNAcentral describes it as "tRNA-Met". It matches the Rfam family "tRNA". From Rfam's summary of the family: Transfer RNA (tRNA) molecules are approximately 80 nucleotides in length. The record is from RNAcentral.
GGGCUCGUAGCUCAGCGGCAGAGCGGGCGGCUCAUAACCGUCUGGUCGUAGGUUCGAAUCCUGCCGAGCCCAC